GAUGAAAGAGAUUUGAAGCUUGAAAGACAAAAGAAGAAAAUUAACAAAUUGAAGAAUGAGGUUAUCCACACAAAAGGAUGGUUGAAAAUGUACAUUAUGGUCGGGAUGUUAAGCUUAAGGUUGAACCUUGCAUUUGUAACAAUGUAUUUUAAUUAGGAUUAAGGUAAUUAGUAUUUUGUUUUCACAAUAAAUGUAAUCUUCUGUUUAUUUAAUGAAGAAUGUUAGUGUCUGUUUUAA
This 237-nucleotide long non-coding RNA is filed under the name Lathyrus oleraceus (garden pea). RNAcentral's name for it is "Pisum sativum (pea) long non-coding RNA (PSAT_LNC023682)". Lineage: Eukaryota; Viridiplantae; Streptophyta; Magnoliopsida; Fabales; Fabaceae. The record is from RNAcentral.